ACUCCUACGGGAGGCAGCAGUGAGGAAUCUUCCACAAUGGGCGAAAGCCUGAUGGAGCAACGCCGCGUGAAGGAUGAAGGCCUUAGGGUUGUAAACUUCUUUUAUGAGUGAAGAAUAUGACGGUAACUCAUGAAUAAGCGCCGGCUAACUACGUGCCAGCAGCCGCGGUAAU
Molecule: ribosomal RNA, 172 nt
Filed under: uncultured bacterium
Lineage: Bacteria
Description: partial 16S ribosomal RNA
Rfam family: Bacterial small subunit ribosomal RNA
Source: RNAcentral